ACUAAGAACCUGAGGUUUUGAGUGCAGAGGGGUGUGCAUGUCGCCCUAUAGUACUGUAUACUGUACACUAUCAGCAGCAGCUGCACACUCGUUCACACGUCUUGACCAGUAUGGCUGGAUUGAAACUGUGGUUUGUUCUGCUUCUGGUGCGGACGUUUUGCACUGACAGCCAAGUGGCUGGAGAGCGACGGGUGAAAACCAUUGGUAGAGAACCAGAUGUGACUCCAGUGUGUCCCAAUGAAACCCUGCAAACUAUCACAUUCAUAUUAUGUAGAAUCAGCACAGAGGGAAGCAGAGAAGAAGGAUGUAAUCUCACUUAUCAAUUUGGGCACGACUUUGACCACGGAUGUGACUCCAGAUUCUCACUGAUUAAAGAAAACCAAACUGUAUUUCUCCAUCUGAACGGCUUAACACCAAACGACAGUGGAAACUACAGCUGUCAGUGUUCAAAUUCUCAAGGAACCUAUACUCUGCAUCUCAAUAUCACUGUGGAAGUUGAUGAAGAUGCCACCAUCAUCACCACCAGUUCCACGGAAACAUCCUUCUUGUUCAUCCUAACCGGAGUGAUUACAUUCGUCAUUACAUUCGGACUAAUCCUGGGAUUAAUCUGCAGAAAAAUGUGCCACAGGCAAAACCCAACUGGAGCACCUGAUUCAGCCAGACGUGAUCCUCGACAGUCUUUGGAGCAGGAUGACACCUAUACCAGCCUUCAGCAUCCAGACAACGACAUCUACCACUCUGUCUCCAACAGUCACCCACUCCAUCACACUGACUUCAGAUCAGCCUGCACUGAUACAGCCAUCGUCUACACCAACAGUCAGGAAGCUCAUGGGAAAGAAUAUGAUUUUAACUCGGUUUAUGCAGUCUAUGAAACAAUCUAAAACUGAUUCAGAGACAGUAAAUAUACGGUAUUAUUAACACAAUACACUUGUUUUCCAGCUUACAUGAAUGUUUUGACCUGAAAGCACAACACUGAUGUUAGUUUGAAAUGAUUUGGAUGCUUCAGAUUGACAGAAAAUUAGCUUGUGUACACAAUUAGCACAAACAGUAUAAACUUAUUCAAAGGACAUUUCUGAAAAACUUAUACUGUUAAAAAAAAUUACCUUAAAUCCAUCAGUGUUUGUCUGUGGGAAGUUGAUUUGAAUUUCUGCAAUUUAUAUCAACAAUGUAAAAAAUACUGUAAAAUAACUUAAUCUCGUAGAGAAAAUGUUUCUGACAGAUUUUAUGUAAUUAAAGUAUAUUUUCUUGCCUUGAUGUUACAUGAAAUCAUGCAUAUUUUUUCAUUUGAUGAAUAAUAUUUACACACGGAGAUGUUUGGGUGUGUGUGUUUGUGUGGAAUAUGAUGGAUGUGUGUGUAAAAUUGCGAAACUGAUAUAGUCUGUUUAUUAAUAAUAUUUGUAUCUAUUUUUAGAAAUACAUUUAAAGUAAUAAAAUUUAAUUUAAGUUUCAUACUCAUGAAGUUUCCUACUUUUUUAAAAAAUUUCAAACAGUUGAAGUUUAAAUGUCAUGCUUUUCCACAGAUAAUCUCUGAUGCUAUUUUACAUUUGACCUGUAAAAUUUACUUUGUUUCUGUAUGUUUUUGUUUUUUACUUUAUUUGAAAAAUAUAGGAGAAAAGUGAAAUAAAAAUGACAAAUUCAGAAAAUUUUAUUUGAUUUUACAGUGCAGGAGAAGGAGUAGCUCUGUGAUAAGAUGUGUGCUUUGUUAGGCUGGACUGAGGGUGGAGAGGCUUUUUAUUUUUGUCUGAGGUGACAGAUCCUCUUCAAAGGAGAUGACAAUCGAGUGAACGCUUGUGCUGAGAUUAUCUGAUGGCAAAGCGGUCACAUGUGAUACAUUUUAGUUGCAAACUAGACCACGUACGCUUGUUGAAUCACAAACAAAGCAACAGAAAGUUCUUUUAGCCUCUUAGUGAAGUUAGAAAUAAGCGCAGCGACCUUCAUCUCAGGCAGAAUAUCUUCUCUUUUUUUGUGACAGCAGUGAUGUCUUCCACUUCCUUUUCAAACCUCGUACCAACUCAUACCUUUGUGAGAACUGUAAACCUGAGGUUAUGAGUGAAAAGGGGUGUGCGUGCCGUCCUAUAGUACUGUAUACUGUACACUAUCAGCAGCAGCUGCACACUCGCUCACACGUCUUGACCAGUAUGGCUGGAUGGAAACUGUGGUUUGCUCUGCUUCUGCUGCGGACAUUUUGCACUGACAGCCAAGUGGCUGGGGAGCGACUGGUGAAAACCGUUGGUAGAGAACCAGAUGUGACUCCAGUGUGUCCCAAAGAAACCCUGCAAACUAUCACAUUCAUAUUAUGUAGAAUCAGCACAGAGGGAAGCAGAGAAGAAGGAUGUAAUCUCACUUAUCAAUUUGGGCAUGACUUUGACCACGGAUGUGACUCCAGAUUCUCACUGAUUAAAGAAAACCAAACUAUAUUCCUCCAUCUGAACGGCUUAACACCAAACGACAGUGGAAACUACAGCUGUCAGUGUUCAAAUUCUCAAGGAACCUAUAAUCUGCAUCUCAAUAUCACUGUGGAAGUUGAUGAAGAUGCCGCCAUCAUCACCACCAGUUCCAUGGAAACAUCCUUCUUGUUCAUCCUAACUGGAGUGAUUACAUUCGUCAUCAUAUUCGGACUAAUCCUGGGAUUAAUCUGCAGAAAAAGGCGCCACAGCAGAAGACAGCAGCUGCCCAUAACCAGCCUUCCGAACACGGAAACAGAAGAGAUUGAGCCGUACAGUGUGUUCAUGCAGAAAGAGAAUGUGCUUUAUUCAACUGCCAGUUACUUACCUAAUAAUUAAAUGUGUUUGAAAGACAAACUUAGGGAUACUUUUGUAAAAUAUCUGCUUCUGUGUGAUCGAUGUUUGUGAGCUGAAACCAAGUCAAACCUGCUGUCCACUACGCUGCUGUGCAACUAUUUCACUUAUUUGUAAUAUUUCAUCAAAUGCUUUUAAUUUAAAACCUAGCUUUGUUUUUGUAAGUACAUUUCAUUCCUUGUGUAAGCUUAAUGUCUAAAAAAAAUAAUACUUUCUUGUGUAACAAAGUUAAAGACCAGAACCUAACAAUGAUCGAAUAAAUUAUUCACGAAACAAAGCUGAUUCUCUUCAG
Molecule: long non-coding RNA, 3090 nt
Organism: Acanthochromis polyacanthus (spiny chromis)
Lineage: Eukaryota; Metazoa; Chordata; Actinopteri; Pomacentridae
Exons: 9
Source: RefSeq, a predicted model, not a curated record